This 225-nucleotide ribosomal RNA is filed under the name uncultured bacterium. RNAcentral's name for it is "partial 16S ribosomal RNA". It matches the Rfam family "Bacterial small subunit ribosomal RNA", at positions 15 to 230 of the family's 1533-position model. The record is from RNAcentral.
GAUCAUGGCUCAGGAUGAACGCUAGCGACAGGCUUAACACAUGCAAGUCGAGGGGCAGCAUGAUUUGUAGCAAUACAGAUUGAUGGCGACCGGCGCACGGGUGAGUAACGCGUAUGCAACUUACCUAUCAGAGGGGGAUAGCCCGGCGAAAGUCGGAUUAAUACCCCAUAAAACAGGGGUCCCGCAUGGGAAUAUUUGUUAAAGAUUCAUCGCUGAUAGAUAAGC